UUUGACCAAUAUUUGGGGCGGUAUUUUUCUAUAAAAAUAUUUUAGGGGGCGCUUUGACCAAAAUCAGAGGACGCUUUGACCAAUAUUUGAGGGCAGUAUUUUCAUAUCAAAAUAUUUUAGGGGGCGCUUUGACCAAACUCAGUGGACGCUUUGACUAAAAUUAAGGGAAGCUUUGACCGGGACGCUUUUAUUAGGGGUACGUGCUUUGACUGGCUCCCGGUCAUCGAAAAAGUGUCUAUGACCAUAGAAUACAACUCCAGAAACAAAGAAUUCAGUAAACUUCCUCCAAAAUUUCAGGUCUCACUUCAGGUUUUAAUCCAAAACCAGUAGAGAGGGAACAGACUGAUAAUAAGUUGUUUGGAUCUCUUGAACCUUUAUCCACGACAAGAGAAGAAAAUUGUUACAAACUGAAGAAACCAGAUAUGUCAACCAAACAGAUAAUACUGGAAGAACCAGAACAUAUCACUACUAUAAAUACUGGGUAUGAAAAACUCCGCAAUGUUACCUGUCUCAGUGAAGAAGAAAUCUGGACAAGUGGAGAAGUCAGUGAUAUGAAAUGCUUCAAUAUUCAAGGUAUACUAAUAAAAACAGAUAAAAUAAAAUCACGUGAUUGGCCAUGUGAUAUAGCAGUGACAGGUGAUGGAGGUCUAGUGUACUCUGAUGGGACAAGAAAGACUGUGAAUAAAGUAAAGAAUGGACAGACAGAGGAGAUGAUCAGUCUAUGGGACUGGUCACCUAGUAAUAUCUGUAUCACCUCCUCUGGUGAUCUCCUGGUUACCAUGUUCAGUGAUGAUAAAACACAAUCCAAAGUUGUCUGUUACUCAGGCUCCACAAAGAAACAAACAAUCCAGUUUGAUGAGGAGGAUAAACCUCUGUAUUCAGAAAAUGGCUAUAUUAAAUACAUCAGUGAGAACAGAAACCUGGAUAUCUGUGUGGCUGACUGUGGAGCUGGUGCUGUAGUGGUGGUCAACCAGGCUGGAAAACUCCGAUUUAGAUACACCGGCCAUCCUUCUACCACAAAGAACAAACCAUUUAAACCCUUUGGCAUCACGACAGACAGCCAGAGUCAGAUCCUGACAGCAGACUUUAAUAACAACUGUAUCCACAUCCUAGACCAGGACGGACAGUUUAUCUGUUACAUAGAUAACUGUGAUCUAUGGAUACCGUAUGGUUUAUGUGUGUAUAAAAAUAAUUUGUUUGUUGCUGAGUUGAGAGGAAAAGUUAAGAAAAUUAAAUAUUUGGAAUAAACAUCUUUGUAUAUAUCUAUAUUUAUUCGUGUGUAUAGGCUGUCAUUAUAUGGCUCUAUUUUGUAAACAAAAUUGUUUCAUUAUCAUGAUUAUGUAAGUUAUAAUUUUAUUGAGAACACAAUUAUUUUAUCUUUCAAGUUAGCAGAGUAGAUAGGGAAAAUGUAGCCAAUUGCAAUUUACAUCAACAGCAAGUUACGAUAUAAUAUAUAAUAUUAGUUGCCAAAGCAAUUUGUAACGUCAAUGAAAUGAUUUUUCAUUGUUAUGAUGAUAUAAGAUUGGAUAUAAUUUUAUUAUCUGCUUGAUUUCACGUUUGAUGGAAUUAAUUGACAAUCCUUAAAAAUAAUUCUUUUGAAGUCCUUAUGACAACUUUUUACAUAUUCAUGAUAUUUAAGACAUAAAAUUGUUGAAAAACUUGAACGGAAGUAUUACUUAAAUAUGAUUUC
Molecule: RNA transcript, 1690 nt
Organism: Saccostrea cuccullata (small rock oyster)
Lineage: Eukaryota; Metazoa; Mollusca; Bivalvia; Ostreida; Ostreidae
Exons: 3
Source: RefSeq, a predicted model, not a curated record